Molecule: ribosomal RNA, 253 nt
Filed under: uncultured bacterium
Lineage: Bacteria
Description: partial 16S ribosomal RNA
Rfam family: Bacterial small subunit ribosomal RNA
Source: RNAcentral
UACAGAGGGGGCAAGCGUUGUCCGGAUUUACUGGGCGUACAGCGCGCGCAGGCGGCCUCGUAUGUGACCGGUGACAUCCUCGGGCUCAACCCGAGGCGGCCCGGUUAGACAGCGGAGCUGGAGGCAGGGAGAGGGAUGUGGAAUACCCGGUGGAGCGGUGAAAUGCGUAGAGAUCGGGUGGAACACCAGCGGCGAAGGCGGCAUCCUGGCCCUGACCUGACGCUGAGGCGCGAUAGCGUGGGGAGCAAACGGG